RNAcentral lists this long non-coding RNA (829 nucleotides) under Salvia miltiorrhiza (redroot sage). RNAcentral's name for it is "long non-coding RNA (SMIL_LNC000988)". Lineage: Eukaryota; Viridiplantae; Streptophyta; Magnoliopsida; Lamiales; Lamiaceae. The record is from RNAcentral.
ACGCCGGAUUUAGAAAAAGAAUUUAUUUUAAUUCCAACAAAAAUAAUUUACAAAAGCUUUGGUAAAUUUAGUUAUUUAAAUUUAUACGCAUUGCAUAUUUAUUUAAUUUAGCAUUUAAGCAUUUUCACGAGCUUUUGAUUAGCAAGAUUUGAAAGGAAUUCCUUUUAUAAAUGCACCAAGGAUUUAAUUACAUUCCCAUUACAAUUUUACUACAUCUAUUAUUCCUACAUUAUACAAUAAAGAAAGUUACAUUGGUACUCAUUUAUACAUAGACAUAUACACACAUUUAUAAGAUACAAGUACACCAAAUACCAACACCUCCCCAUCACCUACGACACCCUCCCUGCAGCUUUAUUUCAUUCACACAAUUAAAGUCUAUGCCUACACUCCAUUUUCCUUCAUUCACACAAUUAAAGUCUAUUCCUACACUCUAUUUUCCUUCAUUCACACAAUUAAAGUCUAUUCCUACACUCUAUUUUCCUUCAUUCACACAUCUACUCUUGAAAGAGCAACAACAUAGUCGUGCAGUCACCCCACCCUGUGCAUCCCUUUAUCUCAUCAGCCAAAGUCCUCCUUCAUCCCACACAACACUCUCUCGCCAAGAAAAAAAAAAACUCAGAUUCCAUAUCUUAGAUUUAAGAACCAAGCUUUUACCGAAUAUUACAUCAAAAUCAACCAAGUUCAGACAAGCUCGACCGAAAGUUUUAAGGUUUCAUUUUCUUUAAACUUCACUAGUUUUUACAGUAUUCUCCAUUACUUUCAGAACACACAAAUUUCAGAACACACAAACUUCGGCUGCCCAAUCAAGAAUCACACCCAUACACACAUU